This 446-nucleotide ribosomal RNA is filed under the name uncultured bacterium. RNAcentral's name for it is "partial 16S ribosomal RNA". It matches the Rfam family "Bacterial small subunit ribosomal RNA", at positions 338 to 795 of the family's 1533-position model. The record is from RNAcentral.
CCUACGGGUGGCAGCAGUCGAGAAUCAUUCACAAUGGGGGAAACCCUGAUGGUGCGACGCCGCGUGGGGGAAUGAAGGUCUUCGGAUUGUAAACCCCUGUCAUGUGGGAGCAAAUUAAAAAGAUAGUACCACAAGAGGAAGAGACGGCUAACUCUGUGCCAGCAGCCGCGGUAAUACAGAGGUCUCAAGCGUUGUUCGGAAUCACUGGGCGUAAGGCGUGCGUAGGCUGUUUCGUGAGUCGUGUGUGAAAGGCGCGGGCUCAACCCGCGGACGGCACAUGAUACUGCGAGACUAGAGUAAUGGAGGGGGAACCGGAAUUCUCGGUGUAGCAGUGAAAUGCGUAGAUAUCGAGAGGAACACUCGUGGCGAAGGCGGGUUCCUGGACAUUAACUGACGCUGAGGCACGAAGGCCAGGGGAGCGAAAGGGAUUAGAUACCCUAGUAGUC